GACGAACGCUGGCGGCGUGCUUAACACAUGCAAGUCGAACGGAAGGGCCCUGCUUUUGUGGGGUGCUCGAGUGGCGAACGGGUGAGUAACACGUGAGUGACCUGCCCUUGACUUUGGGAUAACUUCAGGAAACUGGGGCUAAUACCGGAUAGGAGCUCCUGCUGCAUGGUGGGGGUUGGAAAGUUUCGGCGGUUGGGGAUGGACUCGCGGCUUAUCAGCUUGUUGGUGGGGUAGUGGCUUACCAAGGCUUUGACGGGUAGCCGGCCUGAGAGGGUGACCGGCCACAUUGGGACUGAGAUACGGCCCAGACUCCUACGGGAGGCAGCAGUGGGGAAUAUUGCACAAUGGGCGGAAGCCUGAUGCAGCAACGCCGCGUGCGGGAUGACGGCCUUCGGGUUGUAAACCGCUUUCGCCUGUGACGAAGCGUGAGUGACGGUAAUGGGUAAAGAAGCACCGGCUAACUACGUG
This 468-nucleotide ribosomal RNA is filed under the name uncultured bacterium. RNAcentral describes it as "partial 16S ribosomal RNA". It matches the Rfam family "Bacterial small subunit ribosomal RNA", at positions 28 to 507 of the family's 1533-position model. The record is from RNAcentral.